This 502-nucleotide ribosomal RNA is filed under the name Microsepsis armillata. Its description in RNAcentral is "partial 16S ribosomal RNA". It matches the Rfam family "Bacterial large subunit ribosomal RNA", at positions 1811 to 2583 of the family's 2925-position model. The record is from RNAcentral. Lineage: Eukaryota; Metazoa; Arthropoda; Insecta; Diptera; Sepsidae.
AAACAUGUCUUUUUGUAUUAUAUAUAAAGUCUGACCUGCCCACUGAAUAAUUUAAAUGGCCGCAGUAUCCUAACUGUGCAAAGGUAGCAUAAUCAUUAGUCUUUUAAUUGAAGGCUGGAAUGAAUGGUUGGACGAGGUAUUAACUGUUUCAAAUAAAUUUGUUAUAGAAUUUUAUUUUUUAGUCAAAAAGCUAAAAUUUUAUUAAAAGACGAGAAGACCCUAUAAAUCUUUAUUAUUAUUUAUAUUUUAAUUAUUUAGAAUAAUUUUGUUAUUAUUUAAAUAAUAAUUUUAUUGGGGUGAUAUUAAAAUUUAAUGAACUUUUAAUUUUUAAGAACAUAAAUUAAUGAAUAUUUGAUCCGUUAUUAAUGAUUAAAAAUUUAAGUUACUUUAGGGAUAACAGCGUAAUUUUUUUGGAGAGUUCAUAUCGAUAAAAAAGAUUGCGACCUCGAUGUUGGAUUAAGAAAAAUUUUAGGUGUAGCCGCUUAAAUAUUAAGUCUGUUCG